CUUAAUUCUCGUCUUCCCUUCCCUCCUCGCCCCUCCCCCCCUAUCGAGCUCCCUCCUCGCCGGACUCGGAUCCGGUUCCGGUUCCGAUUCCGGGUCCGCUUCGAGAUCCAGAUCCCUUCGUGUUGGCUUCUGCGCCUCGAUAUAUGGAGCAUCUAGGGCUUCUCGCUUCGCCGAUCCCGUGGGUUUAAUCCUGAUCGGUGUGAUGUAGGGCUUCGGAAUGUGGCUCUAGUUCUUGAUUCCUCAUCGCUCUCUGUGCUCGGUUUGCGGUCUCCACUUAAAUUCCCUAUUCUUCUCUUGAUGAUCUGUCACGUAUCUGUAACUUGCGACAUUCUCGCCAACCGGUGAUGCAAUCGUUGCUGGAAUCUUAUUACGGGCGUCGGAAACGUAGCUGAUCGUUGUUUGUUCGAAAUGGUCAUCCUGCCUUCUUCUUUUCCGAGCAGAGAUGGAUCCUUCCCUCUCCAGAUUUCUUUAUGGAUCCACGAGUCAAUUAAGUCCUGGUUUCCUAGAACCAGCAGAGCGACCGUGGUAAUCCAGUUUAGCUGAUGUAUCUGAUCUCCUGAGCAUUAAUUUUGUAACCGAAAGAAGAGAUAUUGGAAUAUGAUAUCAAAUUGAACAAGUGAUUCCUGUCUUCAGUGCUUUGUAAUCAAGUAUGUUUGUUCUGAAACACUAUAUCUUGUUGUUAAUUGCAUGCUUGUCGGAUUUGUGGAUAAUAUCUUCUGGGAAAACAAUUGCCAUUUUUCUUUCGUCUGUCAUUUUCCUUUCCAACCAUAAAGUCGUGAUUACAUGAUCAUACACUGCGUGUUCACUUUGAUGCUAGAGAUAGCCCUGAGUUGAUGGAGGGUUUAGGGCCUUUUAGAGGAUCCUGAUGAACUCUACUAUCAGAACGUUAAUUUUAUAGAUGUGUGUACUGAGGAGUUUGAUAUAAGACGGUUCUUCAUUGAAUGUGUUUGUCAGCUGGGCGAAGCAUUCAUUUAAACACCAAAGAUGUGAGGUUACAGUGUUGGUGACCUCAAAAUGGACCAGAUACCAUAUAAGACUAGCUAGCCUAAGCAAACUAUGACCUUAGAUUAGAUUGACAGGAGCAACGUACAUUUCUAUGUAAUUAUAUUUAUAUAAGUGAGGCAGAUCCGCGUCGGCCCUCCGGGUUAUCACGGUCAGCAGCUGUUAAAGAGCUUAGCGCGCACCUCCCCGAACCGUUCUCGGCUGAGGCAAUCGGCUCUCGUCAUCAGCGACUCUUGCAUGGCACAUGAGGAGGAGGAAGGGGAAAAAAGUAAAAGAGAUCAGAGAAUGUCUCACC
Long non-coding RNA from Musa acuminata AAA Group (dessert banana), 1297 nucleotides. RefSeq lists it as uncharacterized. The record is from RefSeq and is a predicted model, not a curated record. NCBI's taxonomy places the organism in Eukaryota, Viridiplantae, Streptophyta, Magnoliopsida, Zingiberales, Musaceae. The transcript is spliced from 4 exons.